GCUUGAGGUUUGUAAAUCAGCGAAUCCGCAGCCUGCAAUUGCAUGGGCGUCAUCCAGCUCUGUAUAGGGGCUUAAUUCGAAGGUACCCUUUUCAGGGAAGGAUAGGACUGGUCAGCCUGCGAGUUUAUAUGCAGCAACUAAGAAGGCAGGGGAGGAAAUUGCUCAUACGUACAACCAUAUUUAUGGUCUUUCCAUUACUAGGUUGCGGUUUUUCACUGUUUAUGGGCCAUGGGGUAGACCGGAUAUGGCUUACUUC
RNAcentral lists this unclassified non-coding RNA (256 nucleotides) under Hevea brasiliensis (rubber tree). The record is from RNAcentral. Lineage: Eukaryota; Viridiplantae; Streptophyta; Magnoliopsida; Malpighiales; Euphorbiaceae.